Molecule: ribosomal RNA, 497 nt
Filed under: uncultured bacterium
Lineage: Bacteria
Description: partial 16S ribosomal RNA
Rfam family: Bacterial small subunit ribosomal RNA
Source: RNAcentral
GAUGAACGCUGGCGGCGUGCCUAAUACAUGCAAGUCGAGCGAACGGACGAGAAGCUUGCUUCUCUGAUGUUAGCGGCGGACGGGUGAGUAACACGUGGAUAACCUACCUAUAAGACUGGGAUAACUUCGGGAAACCGGAGCUAAUACCGGAUGAUAUUUUGAACCGCAUGGUUCAAAAGUGAAAGACGGUCUUGCUGUCACUUAUAGAUGGAUCCGCGCUGCAUUAGCUAGUUGGUAAGGUAACGGCUUACCAAGGCAACGAUGCAUAGCCGACCUGAGAGGGUGAUCGGCCACACUGGAACUGAGACACGGUCCAGACUCCUACGGGAGGCAGCAGUAGGGCAUCUUCCGCAAUGGGCGAAAGCCUGACGGAGCAACGCCGCGUGAGUGAUGAAGGUCUUCGGAUCGUAAAACUCUGUUAUUAGGGAAGAACAUAUGUGUAAGUAACUGUGCACAUCUUGACGGUACCUAAUCAGAAAGCCACGGCUAACUACGUG